This 264-nucleotide long non-coding RNA is filed under the name Solanum tuberosum (potato). Its description in RNAcentral is "long non-coding RNA (STUB_LNC000881)". Lineage: Eukaryota; Viridiplantae; Streptophyta; Magnoliopsida; Solanales; Solanaceae. The record is from RNAcentral.
UCCUAUCCAGGCCGCCACAGAUCUUCUUGAUGACCAACAUCUAUUUCCUUUCUGGCAUUGUUUUACUUUAUUUGCUUUUGCUACUCCUAGACAUUAUUAGUUAGAGUCCUUGUAUAAUGACUUUCAGAUCUUGGAGAUUGUAAUAGUUAAAUUUCUGCACUUUAUCGCAGUUAUAUUUGAGAACUCUUAUUUCUCGUCUCAAAUGCUUUUGAAUGUGUUAAAUGAAUCGGUUAUGCCAUUGGUAGUUGGUAAGAUAUGGUUCCC